RNAcentral lists this long non-coding RNA (1968 nucleotides) under Homo sapiens (human). RNAcentral's name for it is "HSALNT0291886". Lineage: Eukaryota; Metazoa; Chordata; Mammalia; Primates; Hominidae. The record is from RNAcentral.
CCGCGGUCUGGGGUCACUCCUUGUGAUGCUGCCAGAGCUCUUUAUGAUGCCAUAAUUUGUAGUGACAUCAUUGCUGUGUCCCUCCUUUGAGUCUGAGAGGGUUACUCAGAUAAGAGUUGGGGAAGUGGAGUCAGACAGGAGCCCUACUGAGGCUCCAAGUCAGUGGGCCGGGUUGGGCUGGACUGGAGGAGAGAGUGGUGCCAGAGGAUCCUCCCCAGGGCAGAUGGCUAUUUUUGGUGUCGACUGCUCGGCUUAUAGCCACCCCUCUUCCUGUCUUCCCAAUCCAAAGAGGCUCUGGGUCCAGCAGGGGCAGGAGCAGUAGGAGAAAUCUUUAGCCCUGCAGCAGGGCAGCUCUGGGGUCAGUCUCUAGCUCAGGAACCAGCCUGUUCCUCCCUACAGUGAGGCCUGACCCUCAGUACCUCGGGUCUGAGGGGAAGGGGGGCCUUACUUCCAAUCCUUGAAAUAGCAGUGAGGCAAAGAGAGAUUAUUAGGAUGGCCAGACAGACGGACACAGCCAGACCCACCAUAAUAGUCACACACAUUAACUUGCUGAUGUGGGCUGCAGGCACAGCCUCACGCCAACACCAUCACACUCACAGCCAUUCAUUCUCAUAGCCAUGCCCACAGCUACACGUGGGCCACAGAUGGCUGAACCACACGGACAUACCAGCACAGGCACAAUGUCACCUGUCCCAUCUGGGAGAACAGGAACCCCUUCUCUCUCACGGUUGUACUCCCAGAGAGGAGCUCAAUUCCCAGCACAUGGCAGAUGCGCACUAAUAUUUGGGCAGUGGAGGUGCCAGGCACUGACCACUGGGCUCCAGGUUCAAGAAAGGAAGAAUCUGAGAGCAGAGCCCAGGCAGGCACCUCCCAGUAAUGCUUCCUGGCUACUGAGGCUGGGGUUCUAAGGAGGUGGAGACCCCUGGCCAGGCCUGGCUUCAACUACAGGCAAUGUCCACCCUCCCCCACCUUCUCAGCAGGCCCCCAGCACCACUCCAUCAAGGUGCCCAGUGCUGCCAGCUCCUGCAGUGACCACCAGAAGUGGCCCAAGUCUGGCAUUAUUCAUAUUCCUACUAGACACACACCUAAGCUGACUAUGUGCAUCUCGAAACAGAGGCCUUGAUCCUGCAGGCUGAUGACACCACUCGAGGAAACCAGCCAGCCCUGGGGGCUCUGACGCUGGAUGCAGCCCUCCCAGGAAAUAGCUCCACUGGCUGCAGUAACUGGAGGCUCCUGAGCCACAUUUCAGCCUGCAGUGGGUGGUGGGUGGGCCCCAGCCCAACUGCUGCCCUGCCCCAGGAAGAAGCAGGCCCGUCAAAAUGUCUGACCCCGUCCGUCCCCCAUCCCCUCCCCUGCCCCAGUCUGUCCUCAGUCCUGAUCCCCCUGCCCGCCCCACAGUGGCCCAGGCUGGCCAUGCCCUUCCCACCCUGCAGGCCAGCUGCUCAGAGCCAGGGGCUCACAGCCAGGGACGGAGGCUAUCCCAGCUCCCACCCGGGCUGGGCCCAAACCUGCCUCCUUUGGGCCUCAUUCUGAUUGGAAAAAAACAGCCUCUCUAGUCCCUGUCUCAGGAAGAUGACUUUUCAAACCAGAAUCUUUCUCACAAGUGUCUCCUCAGGACACAGCUGUGUGGUUUCCUGAAGCUCUUUCUGGUUCAAGAUCUGAUCAGGAGUCCAAUGUGAAUAGGAGACAACAGAGAGCUGUCUUUGUACUUUGGCUCUGAGGAAGGUUUGUGGAAUGGACCGCGUGUGGCCUGAGAGAGCUCGCAUUUCAGGGAAUGCCUGGGCUUGAUGCCUGUUAUCUUGUUCAGUGCCUCUGAUAAAUUAAUAAACUGGAAUCUCACUCAACAAUUGGUUUCACGUGAGUUUGGCAUGUGUGCACUCGCUUCUUGGAGGCUGACUGUCCCAAGGAAAAAAAUUAAACUGUUUCCUGGCCAGAAAAUGGUGAGGACUCAGGGUCCAAAGUAGAAAU